RNAcentral lists this ribosomal RNA (408 nucleotides) under uncultured bacterium. Its description in RNAcentral is "partial 16S ribosomal RNA". It matches the Rfam family "Bacterial small subunit ribosomal RNA", at positions 28 to 526 of the family's 1533-position model. The record is from RNAcentral.
GACGAACGCUGGCGGCGUGCUUAACACAUGCAAGUCGAACGGAGUGGCGAACGGGUGAGUAACACGUGGGAGACUUGCCUUUCACGUCGGGAUAAGAUUGGGAACCUGGGUCUAAUACCCGUUAGUGAAAGAUGAGCCCGCGGGCUAUGAGCUUGUAGGUGGGGUAAUGGCCUACCAAGGCGUUGACGGGUAGCCGGCCUGGGAGGGUGGACGGGGACAUGGGGACUGCGAUACGGCGCAGAGUCCUACAGGGGGCAGCAGGGGGGAAUAUUGUACAAGCGGGGGAAGUCUGAGACAGAGACGCUGGGUGGGGAAGGAACGCCUUCGGGGUGUAAACUCCUUUAGAUAGGGACGCGGUACCUGUAUAAGAAGCACCGGCUAACUACGUGCCAGCAGCCGCGGUAAUUC